RNAcentral lists this ribosomal RNA (253 nucleotides) under uncultured bacterium. RNAcentral's name for it is "partial 16S ribosomal RNA". It matches the Rfam family "Bacterial small subunit ribosomal RNA", at positions 524 to 776 of the family's 1533-position model. The record is from RNAcentral.
UACGUAGGUGGCAAGCGGUGUAUGGAAUUAUUGGGCGUAAAGCGCGCGCAGGUGGUUCCUUAAGUCUGAUGUGAAAGCCCACGGCUCAACCGUGGAGGGUCAUUGGAAACUGGGGAACUUGAGUGCAGAAGAGGAAAGUGGAAUUCCAAGUGUAGCGGUGAAAUGCGUAGAGAUUUGGAGGAACACCAGUGGCGAAGGCGACUUUCUGGUCUGUAACUGACACUGAGGCGCGAAAGCGUGGGGAGCAAACAGG